UUCAGGAAACCAGGCUGAAGAAUGUGAAAUACAUCGCCCAAAGUCAGACACGGAGGAACAACUGCUUCGGAGCUAGCAAUUUCCUGAGCUGGAAUUGCACCACUGGCCUGUAGAAUCCAAACUGUUUUCUACCAGAACAACUCCUUCCCUGCAGGAAGCAGGGUGUGCACAGCUGAACCCUGGUCUGAGAAGGUUGAAGUCACUGACUCAGCCCCAGCAAGGAAGUUGCCCUUCGACUUCUGACCUCUGGCCCUGUUUGAAAACCAACUCAAAUCGUUUUUCUUUUUCAGAAGCUGCUUGCCUCCGCUUCACCUUCCACCAUGAUUGUAAGUUUCCUGAGGCCUCCCAGUCAUGCUUGCCGUUAAAACUGUGGAACUGCUUUACAACGAAUGUAAAAGACAAGUCUCAGGAAAAGAUGUAAUUUUAUGGAAGAAAAAAGAUAGAAAAUAACAUUACCCAAAUGAAAACAGAUGAAGAUAAAGAUCAUUUCUUGAACAAU
RNAcentral lists this long non-coding RNA (499 nucleotides) under Homo sapiens (human). RNAcentral describes it as "non-protein coding lnc-CCDC125-6:13". Lineage: Eukaryota; Metazoa; Chordata; Mammalia; Primates; Hominidae. The record is from RNAcentral.